RNAcentral lists this ribosomal RNA (443 nucleotides) under uncultured bacterium. RNAcentral's name for it is "partial 16S ribosomal RNA". It matches the Rfam family "Bacterial small subunit ribosomal RNA", at positions 338 to 795 of the family's 1533-position model. The record is from RNAcentral.
CCUACGGGCGGCAGCAGUGGGGAAUAUUGGGCAAUGGAGGCAACUCUGACCCAGCAACGCCGCGUGAAUGAUGAAGGUCUUCGGAUUGUAAAGUUCUGUGAUGGGGGAUGAACACAAUGACGGUACCCCAAUAGCAAGCCACGGCUAACUACGUGCCAGCAGCCGCGGUAAUACGUAGGUGGCAAGCGUUAUCCGGAAUGACUGGGAGUAAAGGGUGCGUAGGUGGGUUAGUAAGUUGGCGGGGUAAUUCCGGGGCCCAACCUCGGCGCUACCGCCAAAACUAUUAGACUAGAGUGCGGGAGGGGUAAGUGGAAUUCCUAGUGUAGCGGUGGAAUGCGUAGAUAUUAGGAGGAACAUCAGGGGCGAAGGCGACUUACUGGACUGUAACUGACACUGAGGCACGAAAGCGUGGGGAGCAAACAGGAUUAGAUACCCCAGUAGUC